This 268-nucleotide long non-coding RNA is filed under the name Gallus gallus (chicken). Lineage: Eukaryota; Metazoa; Chordata; Aves; Galliformes; Phasianidae. The record is from RNAcentral.
CUCAUAUAAUCUGUGUCACUGAUCUUGAUAACAUUCAGGUGGUUUUCUUUCUCAAAAUUCUUGAUCCAUUUAUUUGCUUGACCUUGAGGAUCAAUCAUUAAUGGCCAACGUCUUGAGUUCUCAACAAUGACCCCAUUGUCUACAGAAAAUACAUCAGUUGGUAAACCAGCAAUAUUCCAGGAUCUUAUUUUUAUUGGGUCACCCAGAGUAUUACUCAAAGAGAAAUUCUCAGAACAAGGGAUAUUUUUCUCCUUGCACAUCCUGCUCC